AUUGAACGCUGGCGGCAGGCCUAACACAUGCAAGUCGAACGGUAACAGAAAGCAGCUUGCUGCUUUGCUGACGAGUGGCGGACGGGUGAGUAAUGUCUGGGAAACUGCCUGAUGGAGGGGGAUAACUACUGGAAACGGUAGCUAAUACCGCAUAACGUCGCAAGACCAAAGAGGGGGACCUUCGGGCCUCUUGCCAUCGGAUGUGCCCAGAUGGGAUUAGCUAGUAGGUGGGGUAACGGCUCACCUAGGCGACGAUCCCUAGCUGGUCUGAGAGGAUGACCAGCCACACUGGAACUGAGACACGGUCCAGACUCCUACGGGAGGCAGCAGUGGGGAAUAUUGCACAAUGGGCGCAAGCCUGAUGCAGCCAUGCCGCGUGUAUGAAGAAGGCCUUCGGGUUGUAAAGUACUUUCAGCGGGGAGGAAGGGAGUAAAGUUAAUACCUUUGCUCAUUGACGUUACCCGCAGAAGAAGCACCGGCCAACUCCGUG
This 490-nucleotide ribosomal RNA is filed under the name uncultured bacterium. RNAcentral's name for it is "partial 16S ribosomal RNA". It matches the Rfam family "Bacterial small subunit ribosomal RNA", at positions 30 to 507 of the family's 1533-position model. The record is from RNAcentral.